UAUAAUACCACAAGUACAUCAUAAAAUGCAUGUCUGUGCUAGAACUUCAGUGCCCGAUAAAGAGAUAAUAGUAAAAGAAAAAAAAAUUUCCUUAUGAGAUUAUUAUUUGAUUAUUCCCAAUGAGAUUAUUAUUUUUAUGACUAAGAAAGAAAUGUGUAAAAGAUAUUCUCAUAGAGACCUCCUCCGACUAAUUUUAGUUUAAGCGAUUUGAUAAGCGAUUAUUUGGAUUAAUUCUUCUUUUUUUAUACGGGCAACAACAAACACUUCCACUUGAACCAAAGUGAGGAUUAGGCACACAUAAAGCUACAUUAAAGCCCAACUUCAUGCAUGGUUGUUCACAAUCUUCUUUACUUGUGCAUGAGCCCAAAUAUUCACAUGCUUCUUCUGAACCAUUUACAUUUUCUACAUUCAACAAAAGGGAGAAAAGAGAGUGAGAAGUGUACAUACACAAGAAGCAAAGGAGAUACGAAAAAACUAUGUUACUCAGACUCUUUAACAACAUCGUCGGAUGCAUAUUGAGUCCUUCAAAAGCAAUAUCUUUUUUGAAAAUUCGAUACUGGUGCGAUAAUAUUUUUGGAAAAUGUGAGUAACAUAGCGAAAAACUACUCCUUUUGUUUAAAAGAAAAGGAAGAAGUUUAGAGUAAAACAUGUUAAUUUUCUAAUUUUUUGGUCUUCUUUUGAAUAUAUAAUUCCCAAUAUUUUUAAACUAAAAUAUACAUAAUAAAAAUUAAAUAAAAAUACUAUAAGUUACGAUUCUCUAUAUAUAUAUAGAGUUGUGAUUAAAGAAAACAAUGUUUAAUUCUCAAAAAUAGUAAUAAUGUCAUGUAAAGUGAAAUAGAGAAAGUAGUAUGCAGAACUUUAGUAUUGUCCUAACCUUUGGCUUGAGAAGAAACAAGAGAAAGUAAAACAAAAAGAGCAACAAUAAUUUGAGAUUUGUGUGACAUCAUUUCUCUUUGUAUAAUCCCCUUUUAG
Molecule: long non-coding RNA, 972 nt
Filed under: Nicotiana benthamiana
Lineage: Eukaryota; Viridiplantae; Streptophyta; Magnoliopsida; Solanales; Solanaceae
Description: long non-coding RNA (NBEN_LNC003678)
Source: RNAcentral